CAGUCGUAGAUGCUCAAAUUAAACGAUGUGGUCAAAGUAUGUGCAAAGAAAUCCCUGGAAGCCAAAAGCUUAAGCUUCAGAUAUAAAAGAAGUCUCACCCCAAAUCUUCUGUUUACAAGAGGAAAGACAAUGAGAAGAAAGUUGGGUUCCAAGAUGUGGGAAGCUAAAACUGAACUGAGAGACUCCAAGAGGACAGAAAUCAUAUUUUACCCCUUCAAAAACCCAAUUGGACCACCUGCUCCUGUGUGCGUGAGGAAACUGGGUUUUUGGUUCAUAUCUCCUGACCUGCAAUACAGCCUCACAAGACUAUAUGGCACUUUCCAA
Molecule: long non-coding RNA, 324 nt
Organism: Oreochromis aureus
Lineage: Eukaryota; Metazoa; Chordata; Actinopteri; Cichliformes; Cichlidae
Exons: 3
Source: RefSeq, a predicted model, not a curated record